UAAGGAAUAUUGGUCAAUGGACGCAAGUCUGAACCAGCCAUGCCGCGUGAAGGAUGAAGGUCCUCUGGAUUGUAAACUUCUUUUAUCUGGGACGAAAACGGGAUUUUUAUCUCAAUUGACGGUAUCAGAGGAAUAAGCACCGGCUACCUCCGUGCCAGCAGCCGCGGUAAUACGGAGGGUGCGAGCGUUAUCCGGAUUUACUGGGUUUAAAGGGUGCGUAGGUGGGCUUAUAAGUCAGUGGUGAAAUCUCCGAGCUUAACUUGGAAACUGCCGUUGAUACUAUAGGUCUUGAAUUAUCUGGAGGUGAGCAGAAUAUGUCAUGUAGCGGUGAAAUGCUUAGAUAUGACAUAGAACACCAAUUGCGAAGGCAGCUUACUACAUAUAAAUUGACGCUGAGGCACGAAAGCGUGGGGAUCAAACA
RNAcentral lists this ribosomal RNA (421 nucleotides) under uncultured bacterium. RNAcentral's name for it is "bacterial SSU rRNA". It matches the Rfam family "Bacterial small subunit ribosomal RNA", at positions 355 to 774 of the family's 1533-position model. The record is from RNAcentral.